CUACGGGGUGCUCCAGUGAGUAAUAUUGCACAAUGGGGGGAACCCUGAUGCAGCAACGCCGCGUGGAGGAUGACGCAUUUCGGUGUGUAAACUCCUUUUAUAUGUCAAGGAAAUGACGGUAGCAUAUGAAUAAGCACCGGCUAACUCCGUGCCAGCAGCCGCGGUAAUACGGAGGGUGCAAGCGUUACUCGGAAUCACUGGGCGUAAAGGACGCGUAGGCGGGUUGGAAAGUCAGGUGUGAAAUCCUACAGCUUAACUGUAGAACUGCACUUGAAACUUCUAAUCUAGAGUAUGGGAGGGGGAGAUGGAAUUAGUGGUGUAGGGGUAAAAUCCGUAGAUAUCACUAGGAAUACCUAAAGCGAAGGCGAUCUCCUGGAACAUUACUGACGCUAAGGCGUGAAAGCGUGGGGAGCAAACAGGAUUAGAUACCCGCGUAGUC
RNAcentral lists this ribosomal RNA (439 nucleotides) under uncultured bacterium. RNAcentral's name for it is "partial 16S ribosomal RNA". It matches the Rfam family "Bacterial small subunit ribosomal RNA", at positions 339 to 795 of the family's 1533-position model. The record is from RNAcentral.